Paramisgurnus dabryanus is the source of this 327-nucleotide long non-coding RNA. RefSeq lists it as uncharacterized. Lineage: Eukaryota; Metazoa; Chordata; Actinopteri; Cypriniformes; Cobitidae. The record is from RefSeq and is a predicted model, not a curated record.
GGAUCUUGUAAUGAUGCGAGGAAGAAUGGAAAUAGUGGAGUUGUGUUUGGAUUGCAACGAAGAAAGUGCAGGCAUUCUUGGCGUGUGGCUAACCUACGAGUUCUGACGAAGUCAACAGCUUUGAUUUAUACAUUGCUUUGAAAUGAUACGGGAGGAUCUGCAAGUCCAGUGCUGCCCCUGGAAGCUGAAUUCAUUUGGUGCCAUAGAGUAUCCCAUGUCAUCUAGCACCAUUUGAAAUCAGUGUUCUUGGGGUGGUCUAUGACGUCACACAAGAAAUCUGAACGCUGUGUGCUUUAUAUAAAUAAAUAAAAAUUGUAAUGCCUCUGA